GAUGAACGCUAGCGGGAGGCCUAAUACAUGCAAGUCGAACGGUAAGGUCCCUUCGGGGAUACACGAGUGGCGGACGGGUGCGUAACGCGUACGAAACAUACCUUCAACAGGGAGAUACCUCCGGGAAACUGGAAAUAAUACCCCAUAGUAUUGAGAUAUCGCAAUGAUAUUUCAAUUAAAGCUUUGGCGGUUGAAGAUUGCCCGUGCGUCUGAUUAGCUAGUUGGUGAGGUAACGGCUCACCAAGGCGACGAUCAGUAGCUGGUCUGAGAGGAUGAUCAGCCACACUGGAACUGAGACACGGUCCAGACUCACGGGAGCAGCAGUAGGAAUAUUGGACAAUGGCGAAGCCUGAUCCAGCCAUCCGCGUGUAGGAAUAAGGCCCUA
RNAcentral lists this ribosomal RNA (385 nucleotides) under uncultured bacterium. RNAcentral's name for it is "bacterial SSU rRNA". It matches the Rfam family "Bacterial small subunit ribosomal RNA", at positions 28 to 419 of the family's 1533-position model. The record is from RNAcentral.